Molecule: ribosomal RNA, 239 nt
Filed under: uncultured eukaryote
Lineage: Eukaryota
Description: partial 18S ribosomal RNA
Rfam family: Eukaryotic small subunit ribosomal RNA
Source: RNAcentral
GGAAAUCUCACCAGGCCCGGACACUGGAAGGAUUGACAGAUUGAUAGCUCUUCUUGAUUCGGUGGGUGAUGGUGCAUGGCCGUUCUUAGUUGGUGGAGCGAUCUGUCUGGUUAAUUCCGAUAACGAACGAGACCCCAACCUGCUAACUAGCCCUCGGGUCCUGCUUCUGUUGGGCCCGACGGAAUGAUUCGCUUCUUAGAGGGACUCGCGGCGCCUAGCCGCACGAAGGGGGGCGAUAA